Molecule: non-coding RNA, 99 nt
Organism: Sporosarcina sp. HYO08
Lineage: Bacteria; Bacillati; Bacillota; Bacilli; Caryophanales; Caryophanaceae
Source: Rfam
AGGGCGGUAUCUUAGGAACUGCACCGAUUCAUUCGCAUGAUAAUUGAAUAUGAGUCCGAUAAGAUCUGCCUUGAUCUUUUUACAGACAGGGACGGAGGA